GAGGGCAUAUCAAGUGAGCAUAUCAAGUGAGAGCACAUCUUAUAAUGAGAGGAUGAAAUAAUAACCCUUGGAUUAAAAUAAAUGGUUGUGAUUAUGUUUCUUUUAGUGAGUCUUAACUACCCGAUUUUUUCCAACUUCCUUGUGACCAACGCUGUCUCACUCUCUCUCCCCGUUGAAACCUUUUUCUUCCAUAUUCCUCUUUGCAUCAAUCUUCUUUGCAUGCUGAAAAAACAUCACUGAUUCAAUGAUGCUGACGAUUAUCCGACCUCUUUGCAUCAGUCUAUGGUUAAUUUUUUAAAAUUAAAUUGAUUAUAAUCAAUCUAUCAUUCCUCUUCUGAUUUACAUAUUCCAAUUAAAUUGCAAACGAGAUCGGCGACGGCAAAAGACAAAUUGCGACAACAAAGCCUUGGGAAGCUGCUACAACGGUGGAGAUGGAAAGAGAACAAGUGUAGAAUCAUAAAAAGAAGGGGAAAAAAUCAUCUGUAAUUAAAUGUGUAUGGAUCUGUUAAAUCUGACCCAUCUAAUUUAAUUUAAUGGCUAUUAAUGAGUCCUCUCAUCUCUCACAAUAUAUAUAUAUAUCCUAAAUAAAUAAUGAUAUCAUCAUUAUUUAUUCUGUGAGGAACGUUUUCCACAUGUUUCAUGUUACCUACCGCUGGCGCAUUGAAUAUUACUUGGUCAAAUCUAAUUAAUAGCAAAAACGGUUUUUGCUUGGUCAAAUGUGUGUAACGUUAACAUUGAAAACAAUUGAUAUAAAAAGUCUCACAUGUCUGAAGGAUAUAGGCAGGAAAAAAAGCUACGACAAUUCCCAUAUACACAUAUAUUUGAGAGUUGUAAUAUUGUUCACGUGCCCUUGCUAUUUCACGUGCAGUGUUAGUGCUGAAAAGCACUAGUCUUGAGGCCAACUGCAUCAGGUGAUUGACCUGUGGCGGCGAAACGGCGAAAUGCACGCCUCAGCCAACGAUCGAUAAGUUCUUCCUUUCUUCUUUAUUUUACUGAGAAUUAUAUUUAUAAUUGCGGUGAUAUUUCUUGAUUAUUAUCUUUGUUUAUUAAUUAAUUCUAUGUCAAUUUUCCAACAAUUAUUGUAGGAGAAAGUAGGACAUAGAAUUAUUAUAAGGUAAUAAGCAAUAAGAAAUAUUAACAUCAAAUUAAUAGAACUCUAAAUAUAAUAUAAUAGAGAACAACUAAACUUAUCGAUUAUUGGUUGAGGCGUGCAUGAAGCACUGGGCUGAAGAGUAUUUUGCCAUCCCGGAUAAAUAACCCGAUGCGAUAGGUCUCAUAGCUAAUACUCUGCAGGAUACAACAAUCACUUCUUCCUAGCACCGCAUGUGAAUUAGCAAGGUCUCAGGAACCACUUAUUUAGAUUGCUCAAGGGAACUCUAUUCAAGGGAACUCUAAAUGAAAUAAGAUAGAUGUCCAAGCAGCUAGCAACCCAUCUAUGUGCAUAGGUUCUCUGUUCUCUCUGGGCAUACUUCCUCAAAACCACUUAUUGAUAUUAUGUAGACUGUCCCAAACCCACUUAUUAAUAUUAUGUAAACACGUACAAAUUAAUUCCUAUGUAGGUGGUCAAACGAAACCGAAAGUGUGGUAGAAUGAUUCAAAGCUUUCAAUGUUAUGCCAAGUGAAUUGCAACUGCCAUUUUGACUAGGUAAUGUAAUAAAUAAAAAACGUGCAUGACUUGGAGUAUAAAUAGGAAACACAUAGGAUACCACCAAGUCAAGAGAAAAGCUAAUUAAUAAUAAUUAAUAAAAUAAUAAUAGAUAUAAUAAUACUUUAAAAUAAAUUAGUAAAUAAAAUUCCAACGAUCUCCACAAUUUAUUUUAAAGUUUUAUAGUGUGAAAAAUCAAUGCAUAAGCACUAGUGUCUUUUGGACUAUGAACUAGCACAUAGAGCAAAUGAAAUUUGAUCCACUAAAAUAUCAGUGAGAUUAUAACCUCUAUGAACCUCAUUCCGUAUGUAGAUUAAACACACAACUCAAAUAUAUGAGCUAUAGAUUUAUUAAGAGUUUAUAAACCCAACCUUCAACGUUGUAGUUUACACUACACCAUAGGGAUGAAUUCUCAAAAAUAAAAUGGAUAAUGUUUCAUCAAAUUGACAAAUGACUUGUUCUUACCCUUAUGAACAUAAUCUUGCAAAUUUUCACAAUUUAUGUUGGGUUACCAUCACUCUCAAUUUUUGUAUUGGGAAAAUAAAUUAAAUCCACACAAAUAUAAAUUUUUCAAAUCAUUGUAUUAUUUAAUACAAUGGAUAAUCCACAAUAUGUCACCAAUAUUUUAAGGUGAAUCUCAAUGUAUAUAUCUCAUUAGUUUAACAAGUGCCACAAAAAUAUAUUUAGAUCUGCUUAGAUUAUUCCUAAGCGACAACAUCUCUAUUUGCACUUCAAAAAGAUUUCACAAGUUUAAGAAUUCUAUCAAAGAAGAAUUUAAGAAUUCUAUCAAAGAACUCAGACAAAAACUCACUAAAACAUGUUUGAGGAUCAGAUUUCUAGCAAUUAGAAUACACAUAUGAGACGUAAUCAAAUGUACACAACUAUAUGAAUUCACAAAGCUCAAAUACAUAAAUAAGAAUAAAUUAUCCGAUGUUGCUAACAUUUGCAUUAAAUCGCCAGUUAUCCAAUUCAAACCACCAUAUUCCUAGAAUCAUAAAAUUUCUUGAUGGCUGGCAUAAUUUAUCAUGUUAGUAUGAUUCUAAAAUAUUGGCACAAUGUUUUCAGACUCAACCCAACACAUCUAACUCUGAUAUUAUGUAGUUAAGAAUGCAAACAACAGACACAUGAUCUAAUUCAUUCAUAGUUAUUCUGACACGCUAUUAUCAUAAUUUUCCAUAUAAUUCCAAUUCAUUACAUCUUCUCACACUAUAUCCUAGUGCCACGGUUUAAAGUAAGCUCAAGAAUAAAUUAUCAUACAUCAUGAGUGAACAUCACAGUAUAAACACAAAAAAAAAAAAAAAAAUUGUAAAAAAUCCUUCGGUGAGCAUGUGCAUAUAAUAUGUCCUUUCAACAAAAUAUCUAUGAACAUAUUUCACAAAUUAUAAAGUGAACAUAUCAAUGUAUUUUAUAAUAACAUAAUUUUCCUGCUUUUGCAAAUAUCCCUCAAUUUCCAAUUUAUAUAAACACUUCAUCACUAUACUCCUUGAGACGUAGAACAGUUAUAAGUUCAAGAAAACAUUCGGUUUUAAACACAAUGAUCAUAAUAUGUACUUGCAAACAAUGUUCCACAAAUCGCGUGUCAAUUCGGCGAGUUUACCGAGUUUACGUGUUUAGGUGCUAAAAACGUGUUAACUUGGAGGUAAACUUGAUUUCUGGUAAAAUCGGAAAGUUUGACGAGUUUGACCGAGUUAACACUCAGUAAACUCGUGUGAAAUCGGGCAAGUUAACCGUUUUUGCGAGUUUACUCCUGUUUUUUUUUCUUCAAAAAUGGCCCAUUGUUUUGGCCCAUUUUUUUCAAGCCCAAAUGAAAACAUAUUUACUUUCUAGCUUUACAACACGUUUAAGCUUACUGAAGUGAAACAUUUCAUAUCAUUUUCUUAGAGUUUUCAAGAACAGGGGAGCGAAUGAAACAUUAGGUUUCCAAAGAUGAAGAUAUAGAUGAGAAUGGUGUUAUGGAACUUUAGAAGAUUGACCUUUCGAAGAAAUUACCUAGUUUGUUUUUUGGAUAGUUUUAUUCUCAAGUUUAUAAACUUGUGAAACUUCCUUUUUGGGAUGGGUAGACUUUAGAGACUUAUGAAACCUAUGCUUUUGUGUGUUAAUUUUUCUAUUUUGAUACUAAGUUAAGCAUACCACUUUUUUAUGGUGGUUUGGUAUACUUUGCAUUUAUAAGUAAGUCUAUAUUUUUCACUAUUGAUAUUUUUACAGUAUUAUAUUAGCUUAGAUAUGUAUGCAUAUAAUAAAUUGUAUAAAAUUUUAAUUUUAGGUAAACUCGUACGAGUUUUCGAGUCGAGUUUAUCUAGAUAAAACGAGUCGAGGUAAACUCUCAAGUUGCAAAACCUUCCUUGCAAAGAACCAAAAACACAACUGCCGUAAAAGUGAUAGAUAAAUUAUUAUGUAACAAUUAUAAAAUGAAGAAAUACCACUUUUAGAAUUCAACUAAUCACCACAAAAAAGAAAACCUUUUGACUAUACAGGAAUUAUUAGCCCACGGUAAUCUUAAUAUUUUUAGGAAAUUUGUCCAAGUCAAAACAAUAUAGUUAAUAAUUAGCAAAACAAAUCACAGCAACCAAUUUAGUGAACAUUAGAUGUAAGACAUUUCCAUAAACAUUCAAUUCAAGAUCUAAGUUUCAAUCACACACAAAACAAAGUUCAACAAGGCUUGUGAGGUUUAGAUAUUAGGAUAUGUACCUUGCCUCUUGUGGAUGGUUUCAAGAGGAGAAUAGUUUAUAACUUACAAUGGAGUUGAUCAAAUCAUACUCUUGUAGACUGAACCGAUGAAUUCCUCCAUUUUUAGGUAUUUGCCAUCUUCCUCUAAACAAAAGUUCACCCAAUAUUUGGCUCUCUCAAUGCUCACUAGACCAAUUAUGUACGAUGCUUCGACGGAGUUUCUGGAUCUAUCAUACAUGUCGCAUAACAUAGAACCAACGUUAGUGCUACUAAUUUCUCACUCAACAGUAUAAAGAAUUCUGAAAUUAGAAUCAGUAACAAGUAUUCUUUAUAAUAGUAAUACUAUGCCACAAAAUACUCUUAAGAUUGUAGGAGAAAGUAGACAUAAAAUUAUUAUAAGGUAAUAAGCAAUAAGAAAUAUUAGCAUCAAAUUAAUAGAACUCUAAACAUAAUAGAAUAGAGAACAAGUAAACUUAUCGAUUAUUGACUGAGGCGUGCAUGAAGUAUUGGGCUUAAGAGUAUUUCGCCACCUCGGAUGAAUCAUCCGAUGCGAUAGAUCUCAUAGUUAAUACUCUGCAGGAUACAACAAUCACUUUUUGCUAGCACCGCAUAUGAAUUAGCAAGGUCUCAGAAAUCACUUAUUUGGAUUGCUCAAGGGAACUCUAUUUUAGUUAUUAGCUAAUAGUAUAAACUAAAUGAAAUAAGAUAGAUGUCGAAGCAGCUAGCAACCCAUCUAUGUGUAUAGGUUCUCUCUUCUCUCUGUGCAGACUUCCCCAAACCCACUUAUUAAUAUUAUGUAAACACGUACAAAUUAAUUCCUAUGUAGGUGGUCAAAUGAAACCGAAAGUGUGGUAGAAUGAUUCAAAGCUUUCAAUGUUAUGACCAAGUGAAUUGCAACUACCAUUUUGACCAGGUAAUGUAAUAAAUAAAAAACGUGCAUGACUUGGAGUAUAAAUAGGAAACACAUAGGAUACCAAGUCAAGAGAAAAGAUAAUUAAUAAUAAUUAAUAAAAUAAUAAUAGAUAUAAUAUUACUUUAAAAUAAAUUAAUAAAUAAAAUUCCAACAAUAUGAUUAAGCUUAAGGUAUUCUAACUUCUAAGAUGCUAUCAUAGUAUGGAUGCAAACAAAUUUUUGGGGCCAUUAGCAUCCAAACAUUCACGACAAUAAAAGCUUUGAAGAUAAACACUAGCAUCCUAUUGAUGUUAAUUAGCAUUUACAAAGAUGAACGUCAAAAUUGAAGCUUAUUGUAUUAAAAGUGUAUCUAAAUACAAACGUGUGAUAAUUUAUAAAUUUGGUUAUUGUCUUGCACUUAUCCCCAUGUUUUAUGAUGUCUUGAGUGAUUGUAUGAUUUAUAGCAUCUAAUAGGUGUCUAUUUGAUAAUUUAUGAAUUUAAUUAGGUGUAAUUUUACAUAGCCAUUUUAAAUUAGUAAUGUUUGUCAUGGUUGGUUUUGUGAAACAGUUUGAAUAUCUAUUGUGGUGAUAUAAGAAGAUGCAGUGCUAGUAAGGAUUCUGGUGAUGUAGGAAGUUAUAGCGUUGGAAGGAUUCUAGUGUUGUAUCGUUGAAGGACGUUCAGUAUGGGUCGUACACUCGUACAAGCUUAGGUCUCUCAUUUGCCUUUGUGUGGAAAUGAAGCUUGAAGAAUUGUCUCCAAUGAAUAUUGUAGUAUGAGGAAUAAAAGAAUAUGUUGAAUUCCAAGAGGAUGAGACAAGCGAAGCACAUCCCAUAUGAAAAAUUAGCAAAUGACACACAUAAUGAUAUGUAUUUGCAUCAAAC
Molecule: long non-coding RNA, 6085 nt
Filed under: Medicago truncatula (barrel medic)
Lineage: Eukaryota; Viridiplantae; Streptophyta; Magnoliopsida; Fabales; Fabaceae
Description: long non-coding RNA (MTRU_LNC001312)
Source: RNAcentral